GGGUGCAUGUAUACAAUUAGAGUUUACACAAUGCGUGCAAAGUUGGUGGUUAGAAAGAUAGUUAGCAGUUAAGACAUUAUUAUUUCAUCAUUAUUGCUCUUUUGACUUUUGACUUUAAUUAAUGAAGGGUAUAAAUUUUAGAUUGGGGGUGUAGGAUGAGGUUAGGGAGGUGUAGGGAGAAUCACUCUUGAGAGAUGUUCCCUACACCUCGCCUCUUUCUCCCCGCACCUUCAAAUUUACAUUUUUCUUCUUCAUUUAAUAAAAGUCAAAACACUAUUAAUGUGAGGCUUAAUGGGAGGAAAACGCUAUCAAAGAUUCUCAUGAAGCAACUCUAAUCCAAACUGUAUAUAAACUCAUAAAUUAUAUGAAUAUGCA
RNAcentral lists this long non-coding RNA (375 nucleotides) under Vigna radiata. Its description in RNAcentral is "long non-coding RNA (VRAD_LNC011293)". The record is from RNAcentral. Lineage: Eukaryota; Viridiplantae; Streptophyta; Magnoliopsida; Fabales; Fabaceae.